GGGCUAUUAGCUCAGUGGUAGAGCGCGCCCCUGAUAAUUGCACUUCACGGGCGAGGUCUCUGGUUCAAGUCCAGGAUGGCCCA
This 83-nucleotide transfer RNA is filed under the name Salix triandra. Its description in RNAcentral is "tRNA-Ile". It matches the Rfam family "tRNA". Rfam says of the family: Transfer RNA (tRNA) molecules are approximately 80 nucleotides in length. Their secondary structure includes four short double-helical elements and three loops (D, anti-codon, and T loops). The record is from RNAcentral. Lineage: Eukaryota; Viridiplantae; Streptophyta; Magnoliopsida; Malpighiales; Salicaceae.